GGCAGAGGUGCCAAGCGUUAGGCGGAAUCACUGGGCUUAAAGCGUGUGUAGGCGGAUCGUUAAGUACCUUGUGAAAUCCCACGGCUCAACCGUGGAACUGCUGGGUAUACUGGCGGUCUUGAGCCACCUAGGGGCAACUGGAACAAGCGGUGGAGCGGUGAAAUGCGUAGAUAUCGCUUGGAACGCCAACGGUGAAAACAGGUUGCUGGGGGUGUGCUGACGCUGAGACACGAAAGCCAGGGGAGCGAACGGGG
RNAcentral lists this ribosomal RNA (254 nucleotides) under uncultured bacterium. RNAcentral describes it as "partial 16S ribosomal RNA". It matches the Rfam family "Bacterial small subunit ribosomal RNA", at positions 524 to 777 of the family's 1533-position model. The record is from RNAcentral.